GGGAGAUGUAUGCCAUUGGUGGCAGUGCUGCUCCUACAAUUAACAGCCAGGGUAACAGAUACCUUGCCCCAGUGAACCCUUUUGCCAAAGAGGUGACAAAAAGAGUGGAACCAUGGGAAGGAUCAUGGAGACAGUGGAACUGGAGAUCAGUGGGAGACCUUUUGUUGAAUGGAGCAUACUUUACUGCAUCGGGACGUGCUGCUCCAGGCAGCUAUGCAAGAGCCUCAAGCUUAGCUGCGAAGUCCUCUUCCUUGGUCGGAAUGAUUACCUCGAAUGCUGGUGCACUUUCUUGACACAAAUGUUGAUGUCAAGCACAUCAACAUAUCUAGUGAUCACAAACCACACCAUCACAUCAUCUUUACCUAUCCAUUGAAUUCAACAUUCUAAGCCAAUUUUCUCUGAUUAUCUUUCAUCUCUUAGUUUGUGUCUGCCCCUAAUCACCUUUUGAGCAGGGGAGGACACAUAAUAUUAAGGAUGGGUUCAAUUUAACCCACCAUUAUCAGCUUAAAACCUUUAAUAUAUAUGUGAGAAAUCCUAAAAUGUUGUAUAAAUAUUAAAUUCUGAACUCAUAUUUCAAAGAGCGGACAAUCUUGAAUCUGCCUUAGCUCUUGAAUAUAAGGUUCUUGAAACACUACAUUGAUUUUGCACCUGUUUGUCCAUUCCACUUGUCUUAAUGUACCCCGUCCUCAACCUCCCCAACUCCCCGAGAGAUAUAAUUCGAGUAUCUCUGGAGAAGUUUCUGAGAUGCUGUCUUCUUUUUCUUGUCCAUAUCCUACAUACCAUUUCACCAAAAUUUUAUCUCAUGGUAUCAGAAACAGAAAGAUUGUUAAAAUAAAGAAGGAUAAAAGUUAUGCAAGUCCAAUUUUUAGGUUUCUUUCUUGUUGUAGAUGUUCAGCUUCAAAAUAUUAUUGUAAUUGUUAUCCUUAUAAAAUAUGAUAUAUUAUACAUAU
This 950-nucleotide unclassified non-coding RNA is filed under the name Hevea brasiliensis (rubber tree). Lineage: Eukaryota; Viridiplantae; Streptophyta; Magnoliopsida; Malpighiales; Euphorbiaceae. The record is from RNAcentral.